RNAcentral lists this ribosomal RNA (570 nucleotides) under Chrysochromulina sp. Hp34EHU. RNAcentral's name for it is "eukaryotic LSU rRNA". It matches the Rfam family "Eukaryotic large subunit ribosomal RNA", at positions 34 to 658 of the family's 3401-position model. The record is from RNAcentral. Lineage: Eukaryota; Haptophyta; Prymnesiales; Chrysochromulinaceae.
WUAAGCAUAUCACUAAGCGGAGGAGAAGAAAACAACCGUGAUGCCCCUAGUAAUGGCGAAUGAAGCGGGCAGAGCUCACGCCGCCAAUCUGGAGGCCCUCGCGGCCCCCCGAAUUGUAGUCUAGAAAGGCGCCAUCGGCCGCGUCCGUCGCUAAAAUCCCUUGGAACAGGGUAUCGGAGAAGGUGAGAAUCCUGUGACGUGGCGGAUCGCGGCCGCACGAUGCGCUCUUGCAGAGUCGGGUUGCUUGGGAUUGCAGCUUGAAUUGGGAGGUAAAUUCCUUCUAAAGCUAAAUACUGCAGCGAGACCGAUAGCGAACAAGUACCGUGAGGGAAAGAUGCAAAGAACUUUGAAAAGAGAGUUAAAGAGUGCUUGAAACCGACAAGGGGAAACCCGGUUGUGCCCGGUGUCGUGCCGUCGACUCAGCCGCCUUUUUGGGCGGUGCAUUUCUACGGCACGGGUCAGGCGCCUCUCUGCGGGUGGCACACGGUCUUGGUAGGUCUUCGGAGAGCCAAGUUUUCGCCACGCGCGGGGCGCCGCCUGACGUAACGGGCACCACCGACCCGUCUUGAA